RNAcentral lists this ribosomal RNA (370 nucleotides) under uncultured organism. RNAcentral's name for it is "bacterial SSU rRNA". It matches the Rfam family "Bacterial small subunit ribosomal RNA", at positions 526 to 896 of the family's 1533-position model. The record is from RNAcentral.
CGUAGGAGGCGAGCGUUAUCCGGAGUUACUGGGCGUAAAGCGCGUGUAGGUGGUCUGUUGCGUCUGCUGUGAAAUGUCCCGGCUCAACCGGGACUAGGCGGUAGAUACGGGCAGACUAGAGGGUGACAGAGGAGCGUAGAAUUCCGGGUGUAGUGGUGAAAUGCGUAGAGAUCCGGAGGAAUACCAGUGGCGCAAGCGGCGCUCUGGGUCGAGCCUGACACUGAGACGCGAAGGCAUGGGGAGCGAACGGGAUUAGAAACCCCGGUAGUCCAUGCAGUAAACGAUGCAGACUGGGUGUGGGUAGCGCAAGCUAUCUGUGCCGAAGCCAACGCGCUAAGUCUGCCGCCUGGGAAGUACGGUCGCAAGACUA